This is a long non-coding RNA of Eurytemora carolleeae, 382 nucleotides long. RefSeq lists it as uncharacterized. The transcript has 2 exons. NCBI's taxonomy places the organism in Eukaryota, Metazoa, Arthropoda, Copepoda, Calanoida, Temoridae. The record is from RefSeq and is a predicted model, not a curated record.
GCCAGGUUUUGACCAAUGAUAAAUCAGUAAAUCUCCCUGCAAAGAGAGAUUGGGAUGUUUUCCCGUAAAUUUAAAGGUUCUAGCUGAGCUUGUGUUUAGAGUUCAACUGAUAGUGAUACGAGGACGGAUGACACUUUACUCCGACCUGGAGUAGUUCCAGUCCUGAACCUCAUCCCGUCUACUCCAGUAGUACAUGGAGCAUCCACUGGAUACGAUAUCACAGAGAUAGAUGAGAUCAGUUCUACAACCUUCAAUACAAAUAUCUACGCGGAGACCCCUACGCCAAGAAAACAUCGACGACGACGACGACGUUCUAAACACUAAUUAUUUCGGAGAAUUUAAUCUUGUCUAUCAUGUAUUUUUUCAUAAAUAAUUUCAUCUU